GUUGCUCCGAACCAGUUAAAGGACAUGCUGCUGUCAACCAUUCCCUACAGGGGAUUCAGAAAGCCUGGAUGCCAGAGGCAGCUGUUGUAUUUAAUUUGUGUUCCCCAAGGUCAGAUCGUCCUUGUCCCGUCUGGGCAGAAGAGGACAAAGCUCGGAAAACACUCCCUGGGAAGUUUCUAGGGGUGGUAGCCCUCUCCUCUACUCAAAGACAUGGUGAGUCAGAACCGAGUCCCGGGAGUCCUUGCAGGGGUUGGGAACUGUGAGGGAACAGCUAAUUCCAGGGCGGGUGGUGGUGCGGAGGAGGACCAGUCUCAGCCAGCUAGCCUUCUCUGCUGAUAGAAUCUCCGGAUGUGCUCUUGGCGCUAAACACCGGUUUGGCCGCCGGCGGCAGAGGCCUCAGCGCCGCACCUAACCGAGCUGCUACCAGAAGAUGUCGCCCGCAAUCGAGGUGGGCCUUCCCACAUUGAUCAGGACAGUCAGGACGUUUGGUUCUUCCACUGAGGCUCCCUACCAGACGAUUCUAAUUUGUGGCAUGUUGGCACUAAAACCAGCCGUGAUACCAGAGAGCAGUCAGGCCUGGCUGCAGGAAGUCUGCAUGCAGUGCGCAGUGAGUAGAGCCAGGGAGAGCCACCUGCACCCACGUGAGAGAGCUUUCUGUGUGUUAGGUUUGUUCCCGUGAGGCACCCAUAGCACUUGAUCAUAGAGCUGGUCCGCUGUCAGAGGUCAAUAAACACCCUCCGGGGAGCAGACCCGUGACGGGCUGUGCCCUGCCUGGCCCCCACGAACUUUCCUCUGGGUUGAAUUGGAGCUAUUGGCCUCUUUUGACCACAUAAGAAGAAAAUCUCAUUUACAGCAGAGAGUCCCCUGUUGUCUGUAGUUUUCACCCCCAUGGACUCUUAUUAUCUACUGUCAACCGUGGUCUGAAAACAUAGAGUAGAAAAAAAUCCCAGAAACAAACAUAAACGGCUCAAUUUUGUGGACUUUUUGUUUUGUUUCGAGAUAGGGUCUUAAGGAACCCAGGGUGGCCUCGAACUCCUGAUGCUCCUGCUUCCAUCUCCCAGGUGCUGUCAGGCGCCACCACGGCCAGCUACAAUUCGUAAGUUCUAAGCUGUGUUCGGUUCUGAAGAACGUGAGGAAGCCCUGUGCUGCUGCCCCUCAAUUAAGAAGAGAAUCUACACAACCCACGCCGCAGCCCCUGGGGCCACCUUCAUCGUCUUCUUGGCGAUUACACCGACUUCCGGCACCCCAGCACCUCAGUUCACACGACCCCUACGUAAGAGGAAUCUGGACGACCCAGACACAGCGCAGAGGCCGGGCAGUGCUUCCUGUUAGCCUCGUCUCACGUGGUCACGGGAAGAGGAGCGGCUGGAGUACAGUACCACACCGGACACAGAAGGAGGCCACAGUCACAUGACUUUAUCACAGUGGCGUAACCGGACGUGCACAGUGGUUAUGCAGCGCAGUUCACCGUCGCUGGUGUUCUACUCUGUUGCGAGCUGUGGGUCACCUCUUACUGUGCCCAGCAGUUAUAGGUCCGUCUGUGCGGGAGAAAGCUCAGCACACGCAUUGCUUUGUGCUCCCUUGGGGGUUACCUGUCUCCCUGGAGCCCUUACGGCAUAUGCCCCACAGAUAAGGGGUGCCCUUUAGAGUAAAUCCUCUUCCAAGACAGCGGCUUCUGAAGCAUCAAAAUCUAUGCCUGCGGGGUUCAGGUCGGAGGCUCAGGUUUAAACUCUGAGGCCCCAGACUUUCACCUUCGGACGGAGUCUCUAAAAUACUGCCGGUUUUGAUGAAGCCCAGGCUCACUGUUCAAAAUAAACAGCCGGGCUUCGCAAACCAGACUGAAAUUCAGAGCCUGCCAUAAAUAAGAACAGGCAGCCAACCAAAGAGGGAACAGUUUUAAGGCUGAAAUUUUAUUGCCCCUCCAAGAGGGACCUCAUUUGAAUAGGUGAGCUUCAGAAGUACAUGGCAGAGAAAGGCUUUUACUCAAUAAAUAAGGCAAUGUGCAAAGCAAGCACUUGGAUCAGAAUUUUUUUUCCCACUGAAGAGCAGUUGAGGCCGGUGAGUGGGGCACAUCUAUAAUCCCAGGGCUCAGGAAGCAGAGGCAGGAGGAUUUGGAACUUGAGACUAGGUUGGGAGACAUCUGAGAGCUUGACUCACAGAAACAGAACAAAACAAGAGCAGUUGUAAGCUGGUAACACAAAGAUCUCCCUCAGCCGGGCAGAGGGUGAGGAUGAUGGACAGUGGGUUCAGAAGCACAGACACCCCCACUUCCCAGUGUGACCUGGGAUGGUCCCCAGCACUGCCUCUGAGCUGCCAUCCCUGGGACUCAUCUCAGCCCAGGACACCAGGGCAGGGGUCUUCUCUGUAACUCCAGGGCCAUCCUUGUGUGACAGAGCUCAGCAGGGAGGGUCCCCAAAGGCUGGAGAGAGACAGCCAGGAGGAAAGUGACUUCGCAGUAGAUUCAGGACAGCCAAAGCUGAGGUGAGAAGCGAGGUCUCUGCCUUGUGUUAUGUGACUGUUCUUCUCACGCGACGUGAACAGGAACUGUGAGUGAGCUCCACAUGGCCUGCCUAUGUUUCUCUUCCAGAAGAACAUUCCUUGCUUCUUGUCAUCAAACUCAAUAGAAACCAAGCUCCCCAAAGCACGUGUGUCUAGAGCAAAUGACUAUCAUGUGUCCUGUGCUCACAUACAAAGGCGUGGGUGUCCAUUGGUGCUGGGUUGGGGACAGCUACCCCAGAAUCUCAGAUGGCCUGAGUUAUCAUCAUGACAUAAAACAGGAAGAAAAAGAGCAAUCGAGAUCUAAAGUUCCUGAUCCAGGCCGAAGCAAGGAGUCAGGACAUGCUGGAGAAAUCACUAGGCCAUGCAGGAGACACUGCCAGGCAACGAUUGCUAGGAACUGAGCCCUGCAGCAACCAGGAUGGAUUGGGGGCCCUGCAGGUUUCCUGGCUUCUUCUGGUGAGGUGGACUGGACUGUUCCUGAAUGACUGGGUCCAGGAAGUAGUGGGGGAGGGGGGAGAGGAUGGAGAAGUCCCCCAUGUCAUCUCUAACCCCCACACGGCCCUCUGCCUAGCUGCCCCUCCCUCCCCCACUUGUAACACCAGUUACCUAAUCUGCAACAAGACUCGAUGGUAUCUGAGUCCCUAACGGCUCUGAAAACCCACAAGUCUAUAAUUCAGAUAUAAAUGCAGCUAGUGAGAGAUAGGAAACCCCGAGCCCCGACCUGCAGCUUGGGGGAUGUGACCUGUAAUACAUACUGAGCUUGAGCAGAAGACUUGGAAGCAGCUGGUUUGUGCCGAGCAUAUAGCCAGGACUCGGCCAGGUGGUGUCUUCCACCACACUGUCAUUUUAUGCCCAAGUGACCGUUAUUAACACUG
Molecule: long non-coding RNA, 3374 nt
Organism: Peromyscus leucopus (white-footed mouse)
Lineage: Eukaryota; Metazoa; Chordata; Mammalia; Rodentia; Cricetidae
Exons: 3
Source: RefSeq, a predicted model, not a curated record